This is a non-coding RNA of Xylaria sp. FL1042, 132 nucleotides long. The record is from the annotation of a GenBank genome assembly. NCBI's taxonomy places the organism in Eukaryota, Fungi, Ascomycota, Sordariomycetes, Xylariales, Xylariaceae.
GCCCGGUUAGCUCAAUCGGUAGAGCGUGAGACUCUUAAUCUCAAGGUUGCGGGUAAGCAUACAGACAUCCAACGUAACAAUUAUCCACGUACUAAUCCCUCGGCGCUACAGGUUCGACCCCCGCAUCGGGCU